RNAcentral lists this ribosomal RNA (75 nucleotides) under Citrobacter koseri. The record is from RNAcentral. Lineage: Bacteria; Pseudomonadati; Pseudomonadota; Gammaproteobacteria; Enterobacterales; Enterobacteriaceae. RNAcentral also lists the same sequence under 31 other names.
GAACUCAGAAGUGAAACGCCGUAGCGCCGAUGGUAGUGUGGGGUCUCCCCAUGCGAGAGUAGGGAACUGCCAGGC